GACGAACGCUGGCGGCGUGCUUAACACAUGCAAGUCGAACGGAAAGGCCCUGCUUUUGUGGGGUGCUCGAGUGGCGAACGGGUGAGUAACACGUGAGUAACCUGCCCUUGACUUUGGGAUAACUUCAGGAAACUGGGGCUAAUACCGGAUAGGAGCUCCUGCUGCAUGGUGGGGGUUGGAAAGUUUCGGCGGUUGGGGAUGGACUCGCGGCUUAUCAGCUUGUUGGUGGGGUAGUGGCUUACCAAGGCUUUGACGGGUAGCCGGCCUGAGAGGGUGACCGGCCACAUUGGGACUGAGAGACGGCCCAGACUCCAACGGGAGGCAGCAGUGGGAAAUAUUGCACAAGGGGCGGAAGCCUGAUGCGGCAACGCCGGGUGCGGGAUGACGGCCUUCGGGUUGUAAACCGCUUUCGCCUGUGACGAAGCGUGAGUGACGGUAAUGGGUAAAGAAGCACCGGCUAACUACGUG
RNAcentral lists this ribosomal RNA (468 nucleotides) under uncultured bacterium. RNAcentral's name for it is "partial 16S ribosomal RNA". It matches the Rfam family "Bacterial small subunit ribosomal RNA", at positions 28 to 507 of the family's 1533-position model. The record is from RNAcentral.